This is a long non-coding RNA of Oxyura jamaicensis (ruddy duck), 261 nucleotides long. RefSeq lists it as uncharacterized. The transcript is spliced from 3 exons. NCBI's taxonomy places the organism in Eukaryota, Metazoa, Chordata, Aves, Anseriformes, Anatidae. The record is from RefSeq and is a predicted model, not a curated record.
AGAUCUGGUUUGUGUUUAUGAAAAGACUGGAAAGAAAAGAUGCUGUGAAAGUGAAGAACAUAUUGUUAAGAAGUAAGCAAAGCUUGAGAAUUUCCUGGCAAGCAGUCCUUCGAGGUAAUUUUAAUUUUCCAGACAUCUUUAUCAGCUGUUAUCAACCGAUAGCAGCUAUUACUUGGAAAUGGAAAUUAUUGAAAAUGUUUAUGAGGAGAAGACAGCAGCAGCAGAGUUCAGGAUGUUGUUGCAUCCUGAUGCAUAUGAUCA